CUCAGAGGAGCAGCUGAGGUUAGCAUUGGCUCAAGACAGGAAGGAUGGCAGAAGUAUCUGACAGUCAAUGGCAAAUGCUGGACUCUAGGCUUCUGGAAUUUCGCUUGGCCCUAGACUCAUUCCUUGUAUCAGUUCUGGAGGCUGGUGCCGGCAGAUUCAACAUUUGGUGAGAACCUGGUUUCUGGUUCAUAGACAGCUGCCUCCUCACUGUAACCUCACAUGGUGGAAGAGCAGUGUGCACUGCAGUUUUCUCUGUGGAAGACAGUUCUACUUCAGGAUGAAAUAUCCUUCAACGACACCUGGGUGCCCUCGUCUAGCUGUUUUCCUGCUACGUCCGAGACAUUUUGGCUCCAUUCAGAGUCUCCUCCUUGACCACCAACCAGAUCUCCAAAGAAAUUUCAGUUCAGAAAAAAAGUUAAGACACCCUGCUGUAGAUGUGGGCUCUUCUUACCAGUUCCAAUACUUUCUUGAACCUCUGUGUAAGCAAUACGGAAAAGAAUGUAUCAGCCAGCAGCUGCAGAAGCUGCUCCCUCAGGGGAAAUAUGGACACAGACAUACACAGAGAGAGGACAAAGUAAACAGACACAGGAAGGAUGCCAUGUGAAGAUUAGAGUUAUUCUACCACAAGCCAAGGAACACCUGGGGCUCCCAGAAGCUGGAGGAGGCGAGGAACGCUUCCCACCACUUUCAGAUGGAGCGUGGCCCUGCCAACACCUUGACUUUGGACUUCUAGCCUCCAGAACUGUGAGACAAUACAUUUCUUUUGUUCUAAGCCACGCGGUUUGUGCUACUUUGUUCUGGAAACCCUAGGAAACUAACACACAGCUCAAAGCCGUGCUGAAGGGUGAGGAAGGAGACAUGAUUGAAGUCCACUGACGCUUUAACCUGGGCUAUACUUUAAGAGCCAAAAAUGACCAGAAAAUUCUGUAAUCUGCCCAAGAUCUUAUGGAAGGAUGUGCUCUGUAUUAGAAAAAGGAGGUUCUACAGAGCAUCGAUGGAAGCAGUGACUGGAAAAAAUACAAUUAUUUUAUGCACACACCCCACUGGGUUCUGACUGCUCAAUAAACCAGUUACACACAGAUUCAAAUGUUCUCUGCCCACCAGACGCUUGGGCACUUCGCCAGGAUUACUCUCAGGCUGCAUGCUGGUUGUCAUGACGACGUAG
RNAcentral lists this long non-coding RNA (1165 nucleotides) under Equus caballus (horse). Its description in RNAcentral is "lncRNA (ENSECAG00000052640.1)". The record is from RNAcentral. Lineage: Eukaryota; Metazoa; Chordata; Mammalia; Perissodactyla; Equidae.